This 256-nucleotide unclassified non-coding RNA is filed under the name uncultured fungus. RNAcentral's name for it is "partial contains 5.8S rRNA and ITS2". The stretch from base 1 to 52 matches the Rfam family "5.8S ribosomal RNA", at positions 103 to 154 of the family's 154-position model. Lineage: Eukaryota; Fungi. The record is from RNAcentral.
AACGCACAUUGCGCCCCUUGGUAUUCCGAGGGGCAUGCCUGUUCGAGCGUCAUUACACCACUCAAGCUCUGCUUGGUAUUAGGCCAUCGUCCCGCGAAAGCAGGGCGUGCCCCAAAAACCUCGGCGGAGCCUCACCGGCUUUGGGCGUAGUAGAAUUUCUCAACGUUCAAGUCUCCGGUAGGGCCUCCAUUGCCGUUAAACCCCCAAUUUUUUCAAGGUUGACCUCGGAUCAGGUAGGGAUACCCGCUGAACUUAA